Long non-coding RNA from Ochotona curzoniae (black-lipped pika), 237 nucleotides. RefSeq lists it as uncharacterized. Lineage: Eukaryota; Metazoa; Chordata; Mammalia; Lagomorpha; Ochotonidae. The record is from RefSeq and is a predicted model, not a curated record. The transcript is spliced from 3 exons.
CCACGUGGGCAGCUCAGGCAGCCCCAGAGGCUGAUCUGGGAGCUGAGCUGUUGUGAGGUCCUCCAGGGCUGUCCCAAAGUCUUCCUGCUGCUUUCAAGUGGCCCUGAGGCCGCCCCGGAAUCUGGGCCCUUCCUUACCAGCCUCCGGGAGCUCUGUGGCCGCUGUCCUCACUGGUCACUGCUGCAGCUGUUGACAGAGCUGUUCUGCAGGGUGACUGAUGAGUCUGGGGGGAAUGUG